Long non-coding RNA from Carya illinoinensis, 2529 nucleotides. RefSeq lists it as uncharacterized. Lineage: Eukaryota; Viridiplantae; Streptophyta; Magnoliopsida; Fagales; Juglandaceae. The record is from RefSeq and is a predicted model, not a curated record. The transcript has 4 exons.
UACCCUGUAACCACGACCUCUCCAUGAUUGCAUACAUCCAUGCACGUCCUUAUCAUGGUUCCCACCUUGACAUUGGCCUCUUAUGUCGCUCUUUUGUCAAUCACAAAUCUCCUGUUUUCGUUAUCUCAUAUAUGCUCCCGUUGGCUUAUUAUUCAUUCAAAUUUGUCAAAUGUCCAUUCCCGAAAGCCCGUUUUCUUCUUCUUCUUCGCCUUCUUUGCCUCAGACCUCUUUUGGGAGAGUUGAACUAGUUUCCAAGUUUGUAUCGGAGCGACUUGUUCAGAAGUUUUACGAUGUGUCUGAAUUCGACUUUGAUUACGAGCAAAGUGGAUUGUGGUCUCCUCCGGUCCAGAGGACUGUGUUCAUGAGCUCCUCCGGGAAAAUAUUCACGAAAGCAGAUAUUCUGUCAAAACUCAGAAGCGCAUUGCAGAGGCAUCGUCGUCGAAGGAAACACAUGAGAAUUUGUUUCAAUGUAUUCAUUUGCUGCUUCUGAGUGAGAUGUUCAAGGUAACCCUUGUUUCCAGGAACGAUUGUAACUUAACCAGUCAAAAUACAACACAAAAUGCUUUUUUCCGUGUAAGUUUCUUCCACUUGGUUUGGCGAUGUAAAUGUUAUUCUUUUUGAUAAAUUUUGUGCAUCACCUUAAUAAAAUCAGGAAUAAUAAUUAAAAAAAAAAAAAAACUACCAAAUAUCCAUACCAUCAGUGAAUUGAGCAUGUCUAGCUAACUUUGGAGCGACAACAGCACCAUUCCGUCUCACCUGUCCCAGCUUCUCAGUUUCUUCAACAAUUUCCUCUUUUGGUGAUCAUGUAAAUGUUACAUUGCUCCAAGUGUAGAAAUGCUGAGGGGUGUGAAUGGGUUAGGUAAUCCAGUCCGAGUAAAAUGUUCAUAUAACACUGUUGAAUCCGAAUUAACAAAUGUAAGAGUUUAUUUAAAAAAAAAAAAAAAAAAAACAAAUGUAGCAGUUUUUGGUUAAGGGAACAUGCCAUCUAGUCUUAAGGCCAUUUCAACAUAUUAUAUGUAGUCUUUACGAGAGAAUUUUGCAUGUUUGGUAAGUAAGAUGAGAAUUUUAAGUCUUUAAGCCUUAGGUUUUUGUAAGCUAAGGCAAAGCUCUCUCAAAUAUCUGAAGUCCAAAAUACUUUGUGAGCUCCUUUUAGGCUUUUUUCAUGUAAUUCUUUUAUGUCUAGGAACCAACUCAUUUGCCUGACUUUCUGAGUCUGGAAAGUCCAGCUCUCUGGUUUGCCAAGUACCGCUUGAUGUCAUAAUUUGACUUCUCUUACACUAUCUUUGCGUAUGAGUGCCUUCAAGAAAGGUCUCAAUUUUAGUAAAAUACUUGCAAAGAUUAGUCUUGCAGAGACCAAAUUAAACUGCAAACCACUUAAACUAGCAUUAGGAGCCUUGAUGUGAAUUCUCAUUGUCAGUGGCAGAUAUUGUCAAGAACAGUCAAGCUAUAUAUAAAUACUGUCUUCAUUUGUUGUUUCUGCACAAAGCUGAAGUGGCAAGUUGGCCUGAAGCUUUCAAAACUGAAUCCAAACGGUAACAUGUGGGCUCUUAAAGGAUCUGCCACUUGUUUGUUCAGAUAUGAAAUCACCGUAAUUAAGAGGAAUUCCAAAGCUCAAAGCAUUUUAGAAGUCACUGCAUGAUUCAAAUUUACAAUCCACUUCCCCACUUCUCUCCGUUACUACCACUCACAUCUCUUGGAUUCCAAGCCACUUGUCACAAGGGGUACUUCGGAAACCAAUAAUUUUGAGAGGAACACAUCUCCCGAAACAGAAGUCAAUUAAGACAUGAAACUUUGAGGCUCCUACAGUCCUACUAAUUGCAAAUCUGAAUUGGCAAUUGUUACGUAGAAAAACAAACGGAACAAUAUUCUGACGUAUCUGCAUGAGAAGACACGAUUUGUCACUUGUCUUGCAUGUGGGACAUGUGCAUCACAGACAUCUAAGAUCAGCUGCUGCUGCAGCAUACCAGCCUUUUACAGUCCGGAGUAACCUAGGUACCAGCUGCCUUCUUUUAGGAUAGAGAAACGAGAUAUAACAAGUUAACUUGAAGAUAUGAGAUGCCAGUAUAGAUGUUGAAAAGAAAUCUGAUAUUUCCGAAUUCCAGUCUGAUCAAGACCUUCUGUCCAACUUGUAUAUGAAGACAAACACUAAUCCACUUAGCUUAAUUCUCACUUAAGUGGAAACGGAAUGGCUAUACUGGCUUCCAGUGUUAUGCAGGGGAAAAGAAAAGCAUGGAAAGUGGAACGAGCUGCAAAAACCGGACCUGAGAUGAAAAUGCAGACGUGGAACAGGAAAGUCAGGGGAGUGACUUGAAAAGCCUAGAGACUAACAAAAGAAGAACUUGGCUUAUUAUUGCUCAGUAUGAAUGUAAAACAUGUUCCCAUUUACUUCUUAAUUAAUGUAAGUAUACAUCCAUGAACAGUGUGCAAACCCUUUUGAAUGUCGGUAUUUUCCACUAUAUAUGUGAAGCAUCUACGACUAUACGUUGUCAUUGCUUGAGAGCAAAGCUAACAUAUGCUAUAUUUUCUUUC